RNAcentral lists this ribosomal RNA (469 nucleotides) under uncultured bacterium. RNAcentral describes it as "bacterial SSU rRNA". It matches the Rfam family "Bacterial small subunit ribosomal RNA", at positions 29 to 524 of the family's 1533-position model. The record is from RNAcentral.
AACGAACGCUGGCGGCAUGCCUAACACAUGCAAGUCGAACGAAGUCUUCGGACUUAGUGGCGCACGGGUGCGUAACGCGUGGGAAUCUGCCCUUGGGUGCGGAAUAACUUCUCGAAAGGGAUGCUAAUACCGCAUAAUGCCGUAAGACCAAAGAUUUAUCGCCCAAGGAUGAGCCCGCGUAAGAUUAGCUAGUUGGUGGGGUAAAAGCCUACCAAGGCGACGAUCUUUAGCUGGUCUGAGAGGAUGAUCAGCCACACUGGGACUGAGACACGGCCCAGACUCCUACGGGAGGCAGCAGUGGGGAAUAUUGGACAAUGGGCGAAAGCCUGAUCCAGCAAUGCCGCGUGAGUGAUGAAGGCCCUAGGGUUGUAAACUGCUUUUAUACAAGAGAAAACCCUGGUACGUGUACCAGGUUGAUAGUAUUGUAAGAAUAAGCAUCGGCUAACUUCGUGCCAGCAGCCGCGGUAAU